UAGUCCACGCCGUAAACGAUGUCGACUAGCCGUUGGGACCCUUAGAGGUUUUAGUGGCGCAGCUAACGCAUUAAGUCGACCGCCUGGGGAGUACGGCCGCAAGGUUAAAACUCAAAUGAAUUGACGGGGGGCCCGCACAAGCGGUGGAGCAUGUGGUUUAAUUCGAUGCAACGCGAAGAACCUUACCACUCCUUGACAUCCUGCGAACUUUCUGGAAUCAGAUUGGUGCCUUCGGGAGCGCAGAGACAGGUGCUGCAUGGCUGUCGUCAGCUCGUGUUGUGAAAUGUUGGGUUAAGUCCCGUAACGAGCGCAACCCUUGUCCUUAGUUGCCAGCACGUAAUGGUGGGGACUCUAAGGAGACUGCCGGUGACAAACCGGAGGAAGGUGGGGACGACGUCAAGUCAUCAUGGCCCUUACGGAGUGGGCUACACACGUGCUACAAUGGAGAGUACAAAGGGCAGCGAAUCCGCGAGGUGGAGCUAAUCCCAUAAAACUUUUCGUAGUCCGGAUUGGAGUCUGC
This 520-nucleotide ribosomal RNA is filed under the name uncultured bacterium. RNAcentral describes it as "bacterial SSU rRNA". It matches the Rfam family "Bacterial small subunit ribosomal RNA", at positions 791 to 1308 of the family's 1533-position model. The record is from RNAcentral.